This 544-nucleotide ribosomal RNA is filed under the name uncultured bacterium. RNAcentral describes it as "bacterial SSU rRNA". It matches the Rfam family "Bacterial small subunit ribosomal RNA", at positions 282 to 841 of the family's 1533-position model. The record is from RNAcentral.
AGUAGCCGGCCUGAGAGGGCGGAUGGCCACACUGGGACUGAGACACGGCCCAGACUCCUGCGGGAGGCAGCAGUGGGGAAUAUUGCACAAUGGGGGAAACCCUGAUGCAGCGACGCCGCGUGAAGGAAGAAGUAUCUCGGUAUGUAAACUUCUAUCAGCAGGGAAGAAAACAGACGGUACCUGACUAAGAAGCCCCGGCUAACUACGUGCCAGCAGCCGCGGUAAUACGUAGGGGGCAAGCGUUAUCCGGAUUUACUGGGUGUAAAGGGGGCGCAGACGGCCAUGGCAAGCCCGGUGUGAAAGGCAGGGGCAUAACCCCUGGACUGCACUGGGAACUGUCAGGCUGGAGUGCCGGAGGGGUAAGCGGAAUUCCUGGUGUAGCGGUGAAAUGCGUAGAUAUCAGGAGGAACACCGGCGGCGAAGGCGGCUUACUGGACGGCAACUGACGUUGAGGCCCGAAAGCGUGGGGAGCGAACAGGAUUAGAUACCCUGGUAGUCCACGCCGUAAACGAUGUAUACCAGGUGUCGGAUAUCAAGGAUAUCC